GUAUUACUCCCUCCGUUCCAAAAUUCUUGUCUUAAAUUUAUCUAGAUACGAAUGUAUCUAGUCAUAUUUUAGCAUUUAUAUAAAUUUAUUUGUAGACAAACCUAAGACAAGAAUUUUGGGACGGAGGAAGUAUUUA
Non-coding RNA from Hordeum vulgare subsp. vulgare (domesticated barley), 136 nucleotides. NCBI's taxonomy places the organism in Eukaryota, Viridiplantae, Streptophyta, Magnoliopsida, Poales, Poaceae. The record is from Rfam.